UGCGAUAGCGGCCGUAUGAUAGCAUCACUAUGGAUGAUUGGGCUCUCAUAUGUCGGCAUUACGAGGAUCCGGCAUAUCAUGUUACACAUCCAAACUUUUUUUUUUUAGAGUUUAAUGAUUGAAUCUAUUUAUUCUUAACUUCAGUUUGUUACUUACUAAUUUGACUGCUAACUGUACAAAGAUGAUGUGCCCAGAACGUCGUGAAUCAGGCAAGAC
This 216-nucleotide long non-coding RNA is filed under the name Elaeis guineensis (African oil palm). RNAcentral describes it as "long non-coding RNA (EGUI_LNC082302)". Lineage: Eukaryota; Viridiplantae; Streptophyta; Magnoliopsida; Arecales; Arecaceae. The record is from RNAcentral.